RNAcentral lists this ribosomal RNA (254 nucleotides) under uncultured bacterium. RNAcentral's name for it is "partial 16S ribosomal RNA". It matches the Rfam family "Bacterial small subunit ribosomal RNA", at positions 99 to 354 of the family's 1533-position model. The record is from RNAcentral.
CGGACGGGUGAGUAACGCGUGGAAAACCUGCCGUAUACUGGGGGAUAACACUUAGAAAUAGGUGCUAAUACCGCAUAAGCGCACAGCUUCGCAUGAAGUGGUGUGAAAAACUCCGGUGGUAUACGAUGGUUCCGCGUCUGAUUAGCUUGUUGGUGGGGUAAUGGCUCACCAAGGCGACGAUCAGUAGCCGGCCUGAGAGGGUGAACGGCCACAUUGGGACUGAGCACGGCCCAAACUCCUACGGAAGGCAGCAG